RNAcentral lists this transfer RNA (74 nucleotides) under Escherichia phage EJP2. It matches the Rfam family "tRNA". From Rfam's summary of the family: Transfer RNA (tRNA) molecules are approximately 80 nucleotides in length. Their secondary structure includes four short double-helical elements and three loops (D, anti-codon, and T loops). The record is from Rfam by way of RNAcentral. Lineage: Duplodnaviria; Heunggongvirae; Uroviricota; Caudoviricetes.
GGCCCUUUAGCUCAGUUGGUUAGAGCAGAGAACUCAUAAUUCUUUGGUCACUGGUUCGAGUCCAGUAGGGGCCA